Long non-coding RNA from Glycine soja, 217 nucleotides. RefSeq lists it as uncharacterized. The record is from RefSeq and is a predicted model, not a curated record. NCBI's taxonomy places the organism in Eukaryota, Viridiplantae, Streptophyta, Magnoliopsida, Fabales, Fabaceae. The transcript has 2 exons.
UCUUGGAAGAGGUGCCAAUCCCAAGGGCUAUAUGGUAGAAGAAAUAUGGCAAGAGCUUGCAAAGGCAAAACACCUUGAGUGGGAACGAUCAUCGUCCAAACGAUCAUGGGAAUUGCAGAGCUUGAAAGAAGCUUGUGAGUCGGCUUUGAAGGAAAAACAUUUUCUUGAUUACUCCCAAAUGGAAGGAUUUGUGGAUGACGCUACUACUUCCCAUUCA